GAUGAACGCUGGCGGCGUGCCUAAUACAUGCAAGUCGAGCGAACGGACGAGAAGCUUGCUUUUCUGAUGUUAGCGGCGGACGGGUGGGUAACACGUGGAUAACCUACCUAUAAGACUGGGAUAACUUCGGGAAACCGGAGCUAAUACCGGAUAAUAUUUUGAACCGCAUGGUUCAAAAGUGAAAGACGGUCUUGCUGUCACUUAUAGAUGGAUCCGCGCUGCAUUAGCUAGUUGGUAAGGUAACGGCUUACCAAGGCAACGAUGCAUAGCCGACCUGAGAGGGUGAUCGGCCACACUGGAACUGAGACACGGUCCAGACUCCUACGGGAGGCAGCAGCAGGGAAUCUUCCGCAAUGGGCGAAAGCCUGACGGAGCAACGCCGCGUGAGUGAUGAAGGUCUUCGGAUCGUAAAACUCUGUUAUUAGGGAAGAACAUAUGUGUAAGUAACUGUGCACAUCUUGACGGUACCUAAUCAGAAAGCCACGGCUAACUACGUG
Molecule: ribosomal RNA, 497 nt
Filed under: uncultured bacterium
Lineage: Bacteria
Description: partial 16S ribosomal RNA
Rfam family: Bacterial small subunit ribosomal RNA
Source: RNAcentral